Molecule: non-coding RNA, 786 nt
Organism: Sebastes umbrosus (honeycomb rockfish)
Lineage: Eukaryota; Metazoa; Chordata; Actinopteri; Perciformes; Sebastidae
Source: the annotation of a RefSeq genome assembly
UUAAAAUCACAGAUAAAUCAUGUUGCAUAUUAAUUAUUAGAUAUUUAUGAAGAGUUCCACAGUAGAAGAUUCAUUACUUUAAAUAAAAAACAAAGUUUUACUAUUGUGUUUUAUAUGUUAACUCCUCAUUUCCUGCCAUGUGUCAGCUCCUCUCCUCUGUCUGAUCACAGUAUCAUGCACACAGCUGAUCCACAGUAGUGUUAACCUCUGUCAGGUAUCAUAACUGUCUCAUGUCCAGCUGUCUGUCCUACAGUGGAAGUUCAUCUGCUCCUUGUGUGUCUCUGCUCUCCCCUCCAGCUGGCACCAUGGUCAGGCCCUCAGUCUCUCUGCUUCCCCCCUCCUCUGAGCAGCUCUCUGGGGGCUCGGCCACGCUGGCCUGCCUGCUGACCGGCUACUCUCCUCAGGGAGCCGUGGUGAGCUGGCAGGUGGACGGUACGGAGGUGACGGAGGGGGUCCUGAGCAGCUCAGAGGAGGAGAAGAGCGGCCGCUACAGCAGCAGCAGCACCCUGAGCCUGAGCCAGGAGCGCUGGAUGGAAGGAGAGCUGUACUCCUGCAGGGUCCUCCAUCAGGGCCACAGCCAGACCCAGUCCCUCCACAGGAGCCAGUGUAAGGGCUAGAGGGGCCGGCUGAAGCCCAGGACAGGAGCUCUGUGUGGGGGGGAGCAGCUCUGAUCAAUAGCAGUUUGAAUGCUUGUAGAGGAAACUGAAGCUUUGUGUGACAGAGAACAACACUGCUGUAAAGUGUUGGACAACAACAACUUAGAGAGGAAUGUGUGUCGCUCAGCAG